CAUGGGAGGGGGGAAUGUUUCGAGUAGACCACUUUCCUCUGGUUUAGUGGGAUUUGCUUUACCCACACCGGCCUCGUUGACUCGGAUCGGAUUGGUGGAAGAUAGAUUGCCGUUAGCCGUGUCAAGCUGGGAAAAGUGGGAAACAGCUUAUGCAUUUGUAAUAACUACCGCCAGAAUUUCGUAGUUUGGAGGUUAUAACGUUCAGAUCGAAGUUUGAUCUUGACGCAGGAUUUUGACAGUGUGAAAAGUUGUGUGUACAAACAACUCUCGCUAGUAGUGAACCGCUUCUCGUUAAUAAGUAACCCGAGAUGACCGGCUCGAUUCAAGCAGAGUUGAUACCAUCGAGUGCAUCCUCGUCCCAAAAAAUAGUUACAGAAAUUUGCUGCAAUCCAUUUAGAAUACCCAGGCACAAUGUUACAAAGAAUAUUCGUUUCGUUAGUUCCAGCAUACGCGAUUUACUGCACCAUGUAAGCUUUUCGGGCAGCAAAAAAGUGUGCACAGAGUGCAGGAAUAGGGUGCAUCAAUUGUUGAAGCAACGCAAAUAUCUUACAUCUUUUACAAGGUCAUCUGCAUACAGAGAUAUGCCUAUGAAAGUAAAGCGAGGAAAAUCAGGUCAGCUCAGAAAUGAUCAUGGGGAGAAAAAUAAAAAGAACCAUCAGUCAUCCAAUCGUUCGCAAAGAUACAGUAGAAGAGUGACAAACGCAUCAAAUCGUCAGACAAGGAGCAACAGCGGAGGCCAAGAUGUAUCAACCCAGCCGAAUGAAUCUAACCUUAGUAGCCAAGACAGUACUGAGAGAUUGGAGCAGGAGCAGACAAUGUCACGACGAUCUCGUCGAUCAGCAGUGCAUUUUUCUACGUCGAGGAGACGUCCGAGACGAAGCACUGCUACACAAGAAGAUAGUUCAUAUCAAAAUGAAAAUACAAUUCCAAAGACAGUGAUAUCAAGUACCGAUGAAAGAGAACUCAUUUGCUGCUUCUGCGGAGGAUCUCAGAGAGAUGAGACUUUGUACGGUCCAUUUCAUGAACAUGAAGGAAUUAUUACGCAUUAUUUUUGUUUGUUACUAUCCUCCAAUGUCACUCAAAAUGGAGAGGAUAAAGAAGGAAUUUUAGGUUUUUUAGCUGCAGACAUUAAUAAAGAAAUACGCAGAGGCAAAAGACUUUUUUGUUCAUAUUGUAGAAAAAAUGGUGCCACUUUGGGUUGCUGUGAGACUAAAUGUAAAAAAAUGUUUCACUUGCCUUGUGGUUUAAAAAAUAAUUCGCUGCACCUAUUUUAUGGAGAGUUCAAAUCAUUUUGUGAGUCUCAUAGACCAAAGCAAAAAAUAGAUGCUGAAAUUCUUGCUAAAAUAGCUAAUGUUGCAAUGGUUACAUGUACAAUUUGUUAUGAAGAUGUUGAUCCUAAAGAUACUAUAGGUACAUUGUGGUCAUCAUGCUGUAGAAAAGGUGCUUGGUUCCAUCGAACAUGUCUUCAGAAACUUGCUAUAAGUGCCGGAUAUUUUUUUAAGUGCCCAUUAUGUAAUAAUAGGCAACCAUUUCGAGACAUUAUGAAAGAAAAUGGCAUUUACGUUCCGGAACAAGAUGCAUCAUGGGAGUUGGUUCCUAAUGCAUAUCAAGAAUUGUACUAUAGACAUGAUAAUUGUAACGCAAAAACAUGUCUUUGUCCUAAAGGUAGAAAAUAUAAAGAAGAACAAGGCAAGUGGCUAUUGAGUCUAUGUGACAUGUGUGGUCACCAAGGAACCCAUUUACGUUGUAGUGAUUUGAAAUCUGGUGAUGUGGAAUGGUUUUGUAGUGAAUGUAUUUCUAUUACUGAAAAAAAAGAAUCUAGUUCAGUAGAAAACGAUACUGCGAAUGAUCAGUCUUUAGUUUCAAGUGAAAAUUUUACACAAGAGGAAACGGAAAUUCUCAAAAUUACGGUCAACGAUGAUGACAGUGAUUCCAAUGUAUCUGUAGGCAACAAUAAAAUUCAAAAUGAUUCCUUAUCCAGUAUUCUCUCCAAAGUUUCGUUACGACCGGGACCUCUAAAAUACAAAUUAAAGCAGGUUGCUCAACUAAAAAGCGCGGGUAAUAUUGAAGGUUCGAGAUCUAAAAAUAAUAGUAUUAUCGAUCUUGAUAGCGACAACGACGAACUCGAAAUUGUUUGUGAAAGUACAAUGAAGAAACGGCGCGAAAAUUUGGCAGUGAUAGAUCAUGUUUAUGCAAAUCCACACAUAUCUUCAGACGAACCAAUGGCAGUGACAGUUUCUGAAGAAACUGACCAGUCUCCUUUUAAUAUUGUCAUAACUAAUGUUACGUCAGUACCCCCGGAAUUUUUCAAUGAUGAAUUAGAUUCCGAAGAAGUUUCGUUACCUUUCCCACUGCCUAUUUCUGCACCAUUAAAACGUUCACGUGAAAUCACAGACGAUUUGAAGGAAGAAAAGCGAAGUAAACGGGCCAAAUUGGAAUUAAGCCCGAACGCUGAUAUUAAUGCAGUUCCUGAACUGUUAUCGCCUGCAAAAAGCUUAUGCUUAUGGCGUUCUAACAGUUUGCCUCAAGAACUGAAGAACUCACCAACAACACCUUCAAUGAGUCAACAUCAAAUUCCAUCUCAGAUUCAGUUGAGGACUCAACCAAAUCAGGCAAUUCAUCAGCAACCAAAGAAAACACCAGCUGUAACAAACAAUCUCAACUCAACAACACUUCCAAUGUUGGAGCUCGGAUUACCGAUUGCAGUAGCGACGGCGGAACUAGCAAAGCUUCAAGACAGGAUCAACAUAAUAGAGCUGGAUUGAUUACAGAUCAAGCAAAUCUGAAAGAUAUAAAAUUCAAAGUUAUAAAUCAAGAUUUGCACAUUAACAUUCUUUCAACAAAGAUUAUAAUUCAGCUAGACAAGACACAAGAUUUGUCGCGUAAAAAUAUUGAAAAGUAUAUAGUAUCGC
This 2912-nucleotide unclassified non-coding RNA is filed under the name Trichogramma pretiosum. RNAcentral's name for it is "uncharacterized LOC106650467, transcript variant X2". The record is from RNAcentral. Lineage: Eukaryota; Metazoa; Arthropoda; Insecta; Hymenoptera; Trichogrammatidae.